Molecule: ribosomal RNA, 831 nt
Filed under: Triticum aestivum (bread wheat)
Lineage: Eukaryota; Viridiplantae; Streptophyta; Magnoliopsida; Poales; Poaceae
Description: partial small subunit ribosomal RNA
Source: RNAcentral
AUGAUAAUCCUCAUUUUUCAGGUUAUAAACCAUGGGAUCAGUCAAACUGUCAUGGACCGUGCCGUUGAAGUAGCUUCAGAUUUCUUCAAACUGCCAAGUGAGACAAAGCAGGAGUUUGCAUCAGACGACAUCCGAAGGCCUGUUAGAUACGGCACCAGCUCAAAGGACGGCACUCGUCCGUCACGGGCAUUCCUAAAGCAUUAUGCCCAUCCCCUCAGUGAAUGGAUGAAAUAUUGGCCAGAAAAACCACCAACCUACAGGGAGGACAUGGGAAAAAUUUCAGCUGAAGUAAGGAGGGUGGCUCUGCAGCUGAUGGAAGCCAUACUUGAAGGCCUAGGACUGGGCAAAGACUACCAGCAUGAAGAAUUUGAGAGAGGAUUGCAGCUACUGCAAGUGAACUGCUACCCGAAAGAACCAGAAAGCGAAUCGGCGAUAGGGCUGGCGCCACAUUCCGACCACGGAUUUCUUACCAUCUUGCUCGCGAGCUGCCCGGGCCUGGAGGUCCUUGACCGCAGUAGUGACACUUGGAGGGUGGUCCAGCAACCCCGGCACGCGUUGCACGUCCACGUAAGGGACUACAUGGAGGUUCUGAGCAAUGGCAGGGUGAAGACCGUCGUGCACCGUGCUGUCCUGAACCCUGGAGAGGCGAGGAUCUCCAUGGCGAGCAUCCAUAGUUUUGCAAUGCACGAGAAGGUCUCCGUUGCCAAGAAGCUGGUGGAUGAGCAAGAUCCUGAGAAAUACAAGGAGAGCAGCUUCAGUGACUUCCUGGACUACCUCAUGAGCAAUGCAGACAAGAAGCGCAUGAGCUUUCUUGAGAGCCUUAGGAUUUGA